This 253-nucleotide ribosomal RNA is filed under the name uncultured bacterium. Its description in RNAcentral is "partial 16S ribosomal RNA". It matches the Rfam family "Bacterial small subunit ribosomal RNA", at positions 524 to 776 of the family's 1533-position model. The record is from RNAcentral.
GACGUAGGAUGCGAGCGUUGUCCGGAUUUAUUGGGCGUAAAGAGCUUGUAGGCGGCUCGUCGCGUCGGGUGUGAAAACUUGCGGCUUAACCGCAAGCCUGCACCCGAUACGGGCGGGCUAGAGUUCGGCAGGGGAGACUGGAAUUCCUGGUGUAGCGGUGGAAUGCGCAGAUAUCAGGAGGAACACCGGUGGCGAAGGCGGCUCUCUAGUACGUGACUGACGCUGAGACGCGAAAGCGUGGGGAGCGAACAGG